This 478-nucleotide unclassified non-coding RNA is filed under the name Hevea brasiliensis (rubber tree). The record is from RNAcentral. Lineage: Eukaryota; Viridiplantae; Streptophyta; Magnoliopsida; Malpighiales; Euphorbiaceae.
CUCUCUCUCUCUAAAGGCCACCCUUCUCUUUUUUUGCCCUUUCCUGUUUAAUUUAAGCAACCCAGACCCAUUUGUUGUCAAUAAACUCAUCACCUACAACAGCAUCAUAGACUAGCUCCAUCUAUCAUUUGCUUUGUCUCAAAAUCUCUCACGAUGAUUCUUUUGUUUUGAGAAAAGUUGAUGAUUGAAAUAGAGGCACGCAUAUAGAGCAGAAGCGCAGACAAUAUAAUGAGAUGGAAGAGAAGAGAGGAAACAAGAACAGAAGAUACUGAUAUAUGAGAGUGAUAUAUCAAGUGUUCAUGGAUGAAUAAGGAUACCCAUUUGACUUUUUGAUGAUUUGCAUGCCAUGGCUUAUCCACAUUAUCGAUCUCAAUUUGGAGAUACAACGUUCACUAAAGUGUUCGUUGGGGGCUUAGCUUGGGAGACCCCUACUGAAGAAAUGCGUAGAUACUUUGAGCAGUUUGGAGAAAUUCUUGAA